Molecule: non-coding RNA, 479 nt
Organism: Pelobates cultripes (western spadefoot toad)
Lineage: Eukaryota; Metazoa; Chordata; Amphibia; Anura; Pelobatidae
Source: the annotation of a GenBank genome assembly
GGGCCCCAUGCAAAAUCAUUUUACAGGGUCGUCACCCUGGUACACACUCCAUAAUAUGCACACAGAUACAAACUCACAGACAUACAAUCAUUCCCAGACAUAUGCACCACAGAUACGCUCUCCCAGACACACUCAAAGACAGACAUUCACACCUAAACAUUUGCACUCCCAAACAGACGCACGCACAAACAUUGCUAGAAACAAACAUUCCAAGCCAUUCACUGCCACACUCACAAGUACACUUUGCCACACACCAAGAUCCUUGCUGCCACACACACACAAAUAUGCACACACGUUACACACACAGAAACAAUAUAUCUGUUUAAGAGGCACAGUUCUUAAUCUAUUUAAGGUUCAAAUCCCUGUGCCCCUGGUUUUCUACCUAGUGUGCCUCUAGGAGCUUCAUGUUAUUUGUGUAUCUGAUUGUAUAACAGAGCUCCACAGCAAUAAUACUCACAGUAAUGUGUCUCAGUAUUAAG